AUUGAACGCUGGCGGCAUGCCUUACACAUGCAAGUCGAACGGUAACAGGUCUUCGGAUGCUGACGAGUGGCGAACGGGUGAGUAAUACAUCGGAACGUGCCCGAUCGUGGGGUAUAACGAGGCGAAAGCUUUGCUAAUACCGCAUACGAUCUACGGAUGAAAUCGGGGGAUCUUCUGACCUCGCUCGGACGGAGCGGCCGAUGGCAGAUUAGGUAGUUGGUGGGAUAAAAGCUUACCAAGCCGACGAUCUGUAGCUGGUCUGAGAGGAUGAUCAGCCACACUGGGACUGAGACACGGCCCAGACUCCUACGGGAGGCAGCAGUGGGGAAUUUUGGACAAUGGGCGAAAGCCUGAUCCAGCCAUGCCGCGUGCAGGAUGAAGGCCUUCGGGUUGUAAACUGCUUUUGUACGGAACGAAAAGCCUCUUUCUAAUAAAGAGGGGUCAUGACGGUACCGUAAGAAUAAGCACCGGCUAACUACGUG
This 482-nucleotide ribosomal RNA is filed under the name uncultured bacterium. RNAcentral describes it as "partial 16S ribosomal RNA". It matches the Rfam family "Bacterial small subunit ribosomal RNA", at positions 30 to 507 of the family's 1533-position model. The record is from RNAcentral.